This 253-nucleotide ribosomal RNA is filed under the name uncultured bacterium. RNAcentral's name for it is "partial 16S ribosomal RNA". It matches the Rfam family "Bacterial small subunit ribosomal RNA", at positions 524 to 776 of the family's 1533-position model. The record is from RNAcentral.
GACGGAAGGUGCAAGCGUUGCUCGGAAUCACUGGGCGUAAAGGGUGCGUAGGCGGCCGUGCAAGUCUGGCGUGAAAGCCCCGGGCUCAGCCCGGGAAGUGCGCUCGAAACUGCGCGGCUCGAGUGCCGGAGGGGAGAGUGGAAUUCCUGGUGUAGCGGUGAAAUGCGUAGAUAUCAGGAGGAAUACCGAUGGCGAAGGCAGCCUCCUGGGCCAACACUGACGCUCAUGCACGAAAGCGUGGGGAGCAAACAGG